GAUGCUAUUCUAGAGAUAGAAAGUUACUUCGGUACAUCGGUGACAGGUGGUGCAUGGUUGUCGUCAGCUCGUGUCGUGAGAUGUUGGGUUAAGUCCCGCAACGAGCGCAACCCCUAUUGUUAGUUGCCAUCAUUCAGUUGGGCACUCUAGCGAGACUGCCGGUAAUAAACCGGAGGAAGGUGGGGAUGACGUCAAAUCAUCAUGCCCCCUAUGACCUGGGCUACACACGUGCUACAAUGGUUGGUACAACGAGUUGCGAGUCGGUGACGGCGAGCUAAUCUCCUAAAGCCAAUCUCAGUUCGGAUUGUAGGCUGCAACUCGCCUACAUGAAGUCGGAAUCGCUAGUAAUCGCGGAUCAGCACGCCGCGGUGAAUACGUUCCCGGGCCUU
RNAcentral lists this ribosomal RNA (389 nucleotides) under uncultured Streptococcus sp. Its description in RNAcentral is "bacterial SSU rRNA". It matches the Rfam family "Bacterial small subunit ribosomal RNA", at positions 991 to 1382 of the family's 1533-position model. The record is from RNAcentral. Lineage: Bacteria; Bacillati; Bacillota; Bacilli; Lactobacillales; Streptococcaceae.